CAAGGCUGGAACUCAGAAAAAUGUUUUAUGACAAGCAGUGGAAUUUUAAGUUCUGGUAACCUCCAGUGCUAUUGUUUCUCUAGGUUUCGGUGGACCGGGUCUUAAAGACCCUGAAAGAAAAUGCUAAUAAAGCCAAAAGCUUACUGCUCACUACCAUACCUCAGAUAGGGUCCACAGAAUGGUCAGAAACCCUCCAUAACCUGAAGAAUAUGGCCCAGUUUUCUGUUUUAUUACCAAGACAUUAAAGUAGCAUGGCUGCCCAGGAGAAAAGAAGACAUUCUAAUUCCAGUCAUUUUGGGAAUUCCUGCUUAACUUGAAAAAAA
RNAcentral lists this small RNA (323 nucleotides) under Pan troglodytes (chimpanzee). Its description in RNAcentral is "retained intron". Lineage: Eukaryota; Metazoa; Chordata; Mammalia; Primates; Hominidae. The record is from RNAcentral.